This 216-nucleotide long non-coding RNA is filed under the name Phaseolus vulgaris (common bean). Its description in RNAcentral is "long non-coding RNA (PVUL_LNC001951)". Lineage: Eukaryota; Viridiplantae; Streptophyta; Magnoliopsida; Fabales; Fabaceae. The record is from RNAcentral.
CAUAUUGAUCCGUGUUAGGUGGGGGCGUCCAUCUACUGCUUUCGCCUAACCACGUUAUUCUUCCUUCAUGCAAUUACUAUUUUCUAUACAACAACUUUUGCCUAUAACAUUCACACACCAAAAUUUAAGGAAUUGUAUUUAAACUCCAACAGUAAUAAUAACUAUCUAACAACUUAGAAGAUUAAUAUCUAUACUUCUCUACAAACACAUUCCUCC